This 1388-nucleotide long non-coding RNA is filed under the name Homo sapiens (human). RNAcentral describes it as "HSALNT0348176". The record is from RNAcentral. Lineage: Eukaryota; Metazoa; Chordata; Mammalia; Primates; Hominidae.
UGAAAUUGGGGUGAAAGUCAGGGAACGGGCAAUGAGUCCAUGUAUUUGUGUUUUCAGGGAGGUGUUAGGGAAAGGUGGAGGAAGGCGAAGAGAAGGCUAAGGAAGCCUAAGAACUGCGGCUGCAGAGUCACGGAAACACUUCGCUCCGCUCCAGGAUCACUGGCACAGGCCUUUGCCAGGGCGAACUCCGGGCAAGACCCGUGACCCCACCCCAGAAAACUCCCGACUCCCGGGCUGGAGAAGGUAGCCAAGAUCAUUCUCAGUUGCCAUAUGGCAAAGACACAGGAAGCUGCCCUGUGUAGAGACCCACAUGGCAAGGAACUGAGACAUCCUGCCAACAACCACCAGAGUCUGAGGCCUGCUGCCAUCACCACAUAUUGGUGUUGUGAAUAUUUUCUCCCAGAUUAUGGCUUGCUAUGGCAGUCAGCCCCCAAGAUGGACCCCAUUGAUUCUGGACUCCUGGUGCCAAAACCAUUGUACCCAGAUCAACUGCAAACAAGAACAGAGUUUUAAUGGAAAUUUUAAACAAGUAAGAUGAAAAUCCUGAAGCAUUUCUUUCAAGAAUUGUAACAGGAGAUGAAACAUGGCUUUACCAGUAUAAUCCCGAAGACAAAGUACAAUCAGAGCAAUGGCUACCAAGAGGUGGAAGUGGUCCAGUCAAAGCAAAAGCAGACCUGCCAAGAGCAAAGGUCGUGGGAAUAGUUUUUUGGGAUACUUAUUUUGCUUGUUGACUUUCUGAAGAGCCAAAGAACAAUAAUAUCUGCUUGUUUCAAGAGUGUUUUGAGAAAGUUUGCUAAAGCUUUAGCAGAAAAAUUCCUGGAAAAGCUUCACCAGUCUUUUUCUACCGCAACAAUGCUCCCACUCAUUCUUCUCAUCAAACAAGGGCAAUUUUACAAGACUUUCAAUGAGAAAUCAUUAGGCAUCGACCUUACAGUCCUAAUUUGGCUCUUUCUAACUUCUUUUUGUUUCCUAAUCUUAAAAAAUCUGCAAAGGGCUCCCAUUUUUCGUCAUUUAAUCAUGUAAAAAAGACAUGGUUAAAUUUCCAUGAAUCUCAAUUUUUUUAGGGAUGGAUUAAAUGACUGGUGUCAUCACUUACAACCAUGGUUGACCUCGAUGGAGCUUAUGUUGAGAAAUAAAGUUUAUAUUCUUUAUCUUUUAAUUCAAUUUUUCCAUGAACAUUUUGAAGUGCCUCAUAUUAUAAAUGAUAUUUCAUUGUUAGUGGUUCAUUAAUAGGGUAUUUAAAUACAAUUCUUUUUUAAUAUUAGUCCUGUACACUGAGAUCAUGUUUAAAAACCUAUUAGUUCUAGUAGUAUUUUAUAGAUUUCUUUUGAUUUUCUAUGUAUACAAUCAUGUUUCUCCAAAUAAAGAGUUUUAUUUUUUUCCUUCCA